UAAUACGAAGGGGGCUAGCGUUGUUCGGAAUCACUGGGCGUAAAGCGCACGUAGGCGGAUGUGUCAGUCAGGGGUGAAAUCCCGGAGCUCAACUCCGGAACUGCCUCUGAUACAGCACGUCUUGAGUUCGAGAGAGGUGGGUGGAAUUCCUAGUGUAGAGGUGAAAUUCGUAGAUAUUAGGAAGAACACCGGUGGCGAAGGCGGCCCACUGGCUCGAUACUGACGC
Molecule: ribosomal RNA, 226 nt
Filed under: uncultured bacterium
Lineage: Bacteria
Description: partial 16S ribosomal RNA
Rfam family: Bacterial small subunit ribosomal RNA
Source: RNAcentral